UGAGGAAUUUUGCGCAAUGGGAGCAAUCCUGACGCAGCAACGCCGCGUGGGUGAUGAAGGCCUUCGGGUCGUAAAGCCCUGUCAGGUGGGAAGAAUGUCACGGGACUGAAAAGGUUCCGGGAGUGACGGUACCACCAGAGGAAGCACCGGCUAACUACGUGCAAGCAGCCGCGGUAAUACGGAGGGUGCAAGCGUUAUUCGGAAUUACUGGGCGUAAAGCGCGUGUAGGCGGUCCUGCAAGUCUGAUGUGAAAGCCCCGGGCUUAACCCGGGAAGUGCAUUGGAAACUGUGGGACUUGAGUACUGGAGAGGAUGGUGGAACUCCCGGUGUAGAGGUGAAAUUCGUAGAGAUCGGUAGGAAUAUCAGUGGCGAAGGCGCCCAUCUGGACGGUAACUGACGGUGAGACGCUAAAGCGUUGGGAGCAAACA
Molecule: ribosomal RNA, 428 nt
Filed under: uncultured prokaryote
Description: bacterial SSU rRNA
Rfam family: Bacterial small subunit ribosomal RNA
Source: RNAcentral